UACGUAGGGUGCGAGCGUUGUCCGGAAUUAUUGGGCGUAAAGGGCUCGUAGGCGGUUUGUCGCGUCGGGAGUGAAAACUCAGGGCUUAACCCUGAGCCUGCUUCCGAUACGGGCAGACUAGGGGUAUGCAGGGGAGAACGGAAUUCCUGGUGUAGCGGUGAAAUGCGCAGAUAUCAGGAGGAACACCGGUGGCGAAGGCGGUUCUCUGGGCAUUACCUGACGCUGAGGAGCGAAAGUGUGGGGAGCGAACAGG
RNAcentral lists this ribosomal RNA (253 nucleotides) under uncultured bacterium. Its description in RNAcentral is "partial 16S ribosomal RNA". It matches the Rfam family "Bacterial small subunit ribosomal RNA", at positions 524 to 776 of the family's 1533-position model. The record is from RNAcentral.